RNAcentral lists this ribosomal RNA (442 nucleotides) under uncultured bacterium. RNAcentral describes it as "partial 16S ribosomal RNA". It matches the Rfam family "Bacterial small subunit ribosomal RNA", at positions 338 to 795 of the family's 1533-position model. The record is from RNAcentral.
CCUACGGGGGGCAGCAGUAGGGAAUCUUUCACAAUGGGCGAAAGCCUGAUGGAGCAACGCCGCGUGCAGGAUGAAGGCCUUCGGGUUGUAAACUGCUUUUAUAAGCGAGAAAUAUGAUGGUACCUUAUGAAUAAGGAUCGGCUAACUACGUGCCAGCAGCCGCGGUCAUACGUAGGAUCCGAGCAUUAUCCGGGGUGACUGGGUGUAAAGAGUUGCGUAGGUGGCAUAAUAAGUAGCUAGGGAAAUCUGGUGGCCCAACCAUUCAGACUAUUAGCUAAACUGUUAAGCUCGAGACCGUUAGGGGUAACUGGAAUUUCUAGUGUAGGAGUGAAAUGCGUAGAUAUUAGAAAGAACACCGAUAGCGUAGGCAGGUUACUGGGACGGUUCUGACACUAAGGCACGAAAGCGUAGGGAGCAAACGGGAUUAGAUACCCGUGUAGUC